RNAcentral lists this long non-coding RNA (503 nucleotides) under Homo sapiens (human). RNAcentral's name for it is "SATB1 antisense RNA 1". The record is from RNAcentral. Lineage: Eukaryota; Metazoa; Chordata; Mammalia; Primates; Hominidae.
GGGAGCUUAGAUGUGGAAGCUCUUUGGAAACCAAGAAACACUCUGAAAAUGAAAAGGAUACCAACUUCAUCUCUCUUUAAGAAUACAAUAUUAGUUUAAAAGAUUGUUCAACUUAAAGCAAUCUUGUAGAGAUUGUCACCCAUGAUUGAUGCUGGCAUAAGAAUGUUUAUCACAGCAUGGCAUAUAUUGGAAGUUUAGUAAAUGAAGAUACAUCCAAUCUGACAUUCUAUUCACAACCACAAAGAGAUAAUGUAGAAACAUAUUUAGUAAUGUGAGAAAAUACUAAAUAUUAAGUGAAAAAGGGUCUUUUAUUAUGUCUUCCUUGAAGUGCUCUGAUCAGAUCUGCAAUACUGGAGAUGUAAAUUCAACUCUACUUUUUUUUUCUUUUAAAAAGAAGAGCAACAUAAUCCUUAGUGAUCCUAAAUAUUAUUCAACUUAUCUUAACAUUCAAUUUCUUUAUAUAGCAAAGGAAUGCAUUUUUAGCAAUGAAAUAAACAGCAAAC